GCAAUUGAGGUUCACAGCAAAAUUGAGAGGAAGGAACAGAGAUUGUCCAUAAAACCACUGAUUGUGCAUGUGUGUAGAUCCUGGGAGGCUAUCAACAUCUUCAACCAGAGCUGUACAUUUAUUACAAUUGAUGAGCCUGCAUUGGCAUAUCAUCACCCAAAGUUGACAAUUUACAUUAGGAUUCACUCUUGGUGUUGUAUAUUCUAUGGAUUUGGACAAAGGUGGCUGUACUACUUUGUCUUCCUAGAGACAUUUCUAAUAAUGUUGCUUCACAUCAUUGACAACAUUCGAUGUUGCCAGUCUUCUGAAUUUUGGCCAUUCUAACAGCCAAUGACAGGCGCCAUCUCAGCAGUGUCUGGGCCCACAAUGCCAAGAAAGCUUAUGGCAGUAAAUAAGAUGGCAGCUGUGACAGUCCUGACAGCUGGCUGGAGCUCAGGGUGGCAGGCUGAACUGGACUGUGAGCAGUUGGAGUAGCAGUGAGGUAUGACCAGCAUUACUGGUAGGCAGAUGUCAGUUUCCACACUACUAGUUACAACAUGAUGUGAUGGACACAGUCACAUCAUUACAGAGACAGACAGAACUUUAAACAAAU
RNAcentral lists this long non-coding RNA (592 nucleotides) under Papio anubis (olive baboon). RNAcentral's name for it is "lncRNA (ENSPANG00000047935.1)". Lineage: Eukaryota; Metazoa; Chordata; Mammalia; Primates; Cercopithecidae. The record is from RNAcentral.